RNAcentral lists this ribosomal RNA (438 nucleotides) under uncultured bacterium. Its description in RNAcentral is "partial 16S ribosomal RNA". It matches the Rfam family "Bacterial small subunit ribosomal RNA", at positions 339 to 795 of the family's 1533-position model. The record is from RNAcentral.
CUACGGGAGGCAGCAGUGAGGAAUAUUGCACAAUGGGGGGAACCCUGAUGCAGCAACGCCGCGUGGAGGAUGACGCAUUUCGGUGUGUAAACUCCUUUUAUAUGUCAAGAAAAUGACGGUAGCAUAUGAAUAAGCACCGGCUAACUCCGUGCCAGCAGCCGCGGUAAUACGGAGGGUGCAAGGUUACUCGGAAUCACUGGGCGUAAAGGACGCGUAGGCGGGUUGGAAAGUCAGGUGUGAAAUCCUACAGCUUAACUGUAGAACUGCACUUGAAACUUCUAAUCUAGAGUAUGGGAGGGGGAGAUGGAAUUAGUGGUGUAGGGGUAAAAUCCGUAGAUAUCACUAGGAAUACCUAAAGCGAAGGCGAUCUCCUGGAACAUUACUGACGCUAAGGCGUGAAAGCGUGGGGAGCAAACAGAAUUAGAUACCCGAGUAGUC